UCAAACUUGGUCAUUUAGAGGAAGUAAAAGUCGUAACAAGGUUUCCGUAGGUGAACCUGCGGAAGGAUCAUUCAAAAUAAAAGUGAAUUUAUGGCACUUUUAAAAAAAAAUCCAUAUCCACCUUGUGUGCAAUGUAUGAGAAAGAAAAGAGAGGCACGCUUCUCUUUUCUUUUUUCUCUAUAUCAUAUAUCAACUCUUUGCUUUGAACCAGUUUGUCUGAAAUAAACAUAUUCUUUUGAAUAACUUAAUUCAAAAAAUACAACUUUCAACAACGGAUCUCUUGGCUCUCGCAUCGAUGAAGAACGCAGC
Molecule: unclassified non-coding RNA, 309 nt
Filed under: uncultured fungus
Lineage: Eukaryota; Fungi
Description: partial contains small subunit ribosomal RNA, internal transcribed spacer 1, and 5.8S ribosomal RNA
Rfam family: Eukaryotic small subunit ribosomal RNA (bases 1-73)
Source: RNAcentral